Molecule: ribosomal RNA, 468 nt
Filed under: uncultured bacterium
Lineage: Bacteria
Description: partial 16S ribosomal RNA
Rfam family: Bacterial small subunit ribosomal RNA
Source: RNAcentral
GACGAACGCUGGCGGCGUGCUUAACACAUGCAAGUCGAACGGAAAGGCCCUGCUUUUGUGGGGUGCUCGAGUGGCGAACGGGUGAGUAACACGUGAGUAACCUGCCCUUGACUUUGGGAUAACUUCAGGAAACUGGGGCUACUACCGGAUAGGAGCUCCUGCUGCAUGGUGGGGGUUGGAAAUUUUCGGCGGUUGGGGAUGGACUGGCGGCUUAUCAGCUUGUUGGUGGGGUAGUGGCUUACCCAGGCUUUGACGGGUAGCCGGCCUGAGAGGGUGGCCGGCCACCAUGGGCCUGAGGGACGGCCCAGACUCCUACGGGAGGCAGCAGGGGGGAGUAUUGCACAACGGGACGAAGCCUGUGGCAGAAACGCUGCGUGCGGAAUGCCGGCUUUCGGGUUGAAAACAGCUUUAGCCUGUGAUGAAGCGGGAGUGACGGUAAUGGGUAAAGAAGCACCGGCUAACUACGUG